Non-coding RNA from Podarcis lilfordi (Lilford's wall lizard), 68 nucleotides. The record is from the annotation of a GenBank genome assembly. NCBI's taxonomy places the organism in Eukaryota, Metazoa, Chordata, Lepidosauria, Squamata, Lacertidae.
GGGCUAGCUCAGUCGGUAGACCAUGCGACUUUUAAUCUCAGGGUUGUGGGUCCAAGUCACACACUUCU